CCAAAGGCUCUUUUCAGAGCCGCCCACAGUGUCCGAAAAGAGUUGG
Regulatory RNA element from Alligator mississippiensis (American alligator), 46 nucleotides. It matches the Rfam family "Histone 3' UTR stem-loop". Rfam says of the family: The mRNAs of metazoan histone genes lack a poly-A tail. 3' end processing occurs at a site between a highly conserved stem-loop (modelled by this family) and a purine rich region around 20 nts downstream (the histone downstream element, or HDE). The stem-loop is bound by a 31 kDa stem-loop binding protein (SLBP - also termed the histone hairpin binding protein, or HBP). NCBI's taxonomy places the organism in Eukaryota, Metazoa, Chordata, Crocodylia, Alligatoridae. The record is from Rfam.